This 1339-nucleotide ribosomal RNA is filed under the name Kochiella crispa. Its description in RNAcentral is "eukaryotic LSU rRNA". It matches the Rfam family "Eukaryotic large subunit ribosomal RNA", at positions 75 to 1376 of the family's 3401-position model. Lineage: Eukaryota; Fungi; Ascomycota; Sordariomycetes; Microascales; Halosphaeriaceae. The record is from RNAcentral.
UUGCCUUAGUACGGCGAGUGAAGCGGCAACAGCUCAAAUUUGAAAUCUGGCGCUUUUGGUGCCCGAGUUGUAAUUUGCAGAGGAUGCUUUUGGCGACGUGCCUUCCGAGUUCCCUGGAACGGGACGCCAUAGAGGGUGAGAGCCCCGUACGGUCUGGUGCCUAGCCGUUGUAAAGCUCCUUCGACGAGUCGAGUAGUUUGGGAAUGCUGCUCUAAAUGGGAGGUAAACUCCUUCUAAAGCUAAAUAUUGGCCAGAGACCGAUAGCGCACAAGUAGAGUGAUCGAAAGAUGAAAAGCACUUUGAAAAGAGAGUUAAAUAGCACGUGAAAUUGUUGAAAGGGAAGCGCUUGUGACCAGACUUGGGCUUGGUAGUUCAGCCGUCCUUUUGGGCGGUGCAUUCUGCCGGUUCAGGCCAGCAUCAGUUGUCGGUUGGGUAGAAUUGUAUGUGGGAAUGUGGCUCUUCGGAGUGUUAUAGCCCGCUACCGCAAUGCCCUCCCUGGCGAGCUGAGGUUAGCGUUUUCACGGAUGCUGGCGUAAUGGUUAUCAGCGACCCGUCUUGAAACACGGACCAAGGAGUCGUCCUGCUAUGCGAGUGUUUGGGUGUUAAACCCCUACGCGAAAUGAAAGUGAACGGAGGUGAGAGCUUUGGCGCAUCAUCGACCGAUCCUGAUGUUUUCGGAUGGAUUUGAGUAAGAGCAUAGCGGGCCGGACCCGAAAGAAGGUAAGCAAAAGACCCAAAUAUCCCCUAAUUUUUUAGUGGACGUAUGUACUAACGGUGGCAACCUUAUAGGUGAACUAUGCUUGAAUAGGGCAAAGCCAGAGGAAACUCUGGUGGAGGCUCGCAGCGGUUCUGACGUGCAAAUCGAUCGUCAAAUUUGAGCAUGGGGGCGAAAGACUAAUCGAACCUUCUAGUAGCUGGUUUCUACCGAAGUUUCCCUCAGGAUAGCAGUGUUGAUUCUCAGUUUUAUGAGGUAAAGCGAAUGAUUAGGGACUCGGGGGCGCUAUUUAGCCUUCAUCCAUUCUCAAACUUUAAAUAUGUAAGAAGCCUUUGUUGCUUUAGUGAACGAAGGCAUUAGAAUGUACAACACUAGUGGGCCAUUUUUGGUAAGCAGAACUGGCGAUGCGGGAUGAACCGAUCGCGAGGUUAAGGUGCCGGAGUAGUCGCUCAUCAGACACCACAAAAGGUGUUAUCACAUCUUGACAGCAGGACGGUGGCCAUGGAAGUCGGAAUCCGCUAAGGACUGUGUAACAACUCACCUGCCGAAUGUGAUAGCCCUGAAAAUGGAUGGCGCUCAAGCGACUCACCCAUACCUCGCCCUCAGGGUAGACACUAUGCCCUG